UACAGAGGUCUCAAGCGUUGUUCGGAAUCACUGGGCGUAAAGGGCGCGUAGGCGGACAAGUAAGUCGGGCGUGAAAUCCCUAGGCUCAACCUAGGAACUGCACUCGAAACUGCCUGUCUUGAGUACCGGAGAGGAAAGCGGAAUACCUGGUGUAGAGGUGAAAUUCGUAGAUAUCAGGUGGAACACCAGUGGCGAAGGCGGCUUUCUGGACGGUAACUGACGCUGAGGCGCGAAAGCGUGGGGAGCAAACAGG
RNAcentral lists this ribosomal RNA (253 nucleotides) under uncultured prokaryote. RNAcentral's name for it is "partial 16S ribosomal RNA". It matches the Rfam family "Bacterial small subunit ribosomal RNA", at positions 524 to 776 of the family's 1533-position model. The record is from RNAcentral.